CUGGUUAAGAGUUUGAUCAUGGCUCACNACGNACGUUAGGUCGGCGAUGCCUAAUACAUGCAAGUCGAGCGAACAGAGAAGGAGCUUGCUCCUUUGACGUUAGCGGCGGACGGGUGAGUAACACGUGGGCAACCUACCUUAUAGUUUGGGAUAACUCCGGGAAACCGGGGCUAAUACCGAAUAAUCUAUUUUACUUCAUGGUGAAAUACUGAAAGACGGUUUCGGCUGUCGCUAUAAGAUGGGCCCGCGGCCGCAUUAGCUAGUUGGUGAGGUAACGGCUCACCAAGGGCGACGAUGCGUAGCCGACCUGAGAGGGUGAUCGGCCACACUGGGACUGAGACACGGCCCAGACUCCUACGGGAGGCAGCAGUAGGGAAUCUUCCACAAUGGGCGAAAGCCUGAUGGAGCAACGCCGCGUGAGUGAAGAAAGUUUUCGGAUCGUAAAACUCUGUUGUAAGGGAAGAACAAGUACAGUAGUAACUGGCUGUACCUUGACGGUACCUUAUUAGAAAGCCACGGCUAACUACGUGCCAGCAAGCCGCGGGUAAUACGUAGGUGGCAAGCGUUUGUCCNGNAAUAAUUGGGGCGUAAAACGCGCGCCAGGCGGUCUGGCAAGUCNGAUNUNAAAUUCCCCGGGCUCNACCUGGGAACUGCUUUCGAAACUG
This 665-nucleotide ribosomal RNA is filed under the name uncultured bacterium. RNAcentral's name for it is "bacterial SSU rRNA". It matches the Rfam family "Bacterial small subunit ribosomal RNA", at positions 1 to 635 of the family's 1533-position model. The record is from RNAcentral.